Molecule: ribosomal RNA, 425 nt
Filed under: uncultured bacterium
Lineage: Bacteria
Description: partial 16S ribosomal RNA
Rfam family: Bacterial small subunit ribosomal RNA
Source: RNAcentral
GUGGGGAAUCUUGCGCAAUGGGCGAAAGCCUGACGCAGCCAUGCCGCGUGAAUGAUGAAGGUCUUAGGAUUGUAAAAUUCUUUCACCGGGGACGAUAAUGACGGUACCCGGAGAAGAAGCUCCGGCUAACUUCGUGCCAGCAGCCGCGGUAAUACGAAGGGGGCUAGCGUUGCUCGGAAUUACUGGGCGUAAAGGGCGCGUAGGCGGACAGCUUAGUCAGAGGUGAAAGCCCAGGGCUCAACCUUGGAAUUGCCUUUGAUACUGGCUGUCUUGAGUUUGGGAGAGGUGAGUGGAACUCCGAGUGUAGAGGUGAAAGUCGUAGAUAUUCGGAAGAACACCAGUGACGGAGGCGACUCACUGGCCCAAUACUGACGCUGAGGCGCGAAAGCGUGGGGAGCAAACAGGAUUAAAAACCCGAGUAGUCC